ACGGGUUUUCGCGUUUGCUGCCAGCAUGUGGCAUACAGUCGGUCGCAAACGCCGCGAUGUCCGGCCGCCUGCAUCGCCGGCUGCGCUGUUGCCUGCUCGGCGUCUUGACUGUAUUGGCCAUGCAAUUGCUGAUUGUCGUUUUGGUAGUGCGCUUUGGCCUAAUCGAUGAAUUAAUCAGCCAUCGAUUGCUGUUGCAGCAGCAACAACUGAGCCUACACCAACUCGAAUGGCGCGAGUUUAUUACGCAUACGCCCGAUCAGCCGCACGCACUCUAUCAAUACAAUCGCCAGCUGAGCGACAAUCUGGCUGCCGUGCGUCUCCUGCCAACGACACGACAUCACAGCUGCAACAGGCGCCGCUAUAGGCUGCCUCAAGCCAGCCGGGCCAAGCUCAGCGUUGUGAUUUGCUUUCAUAAUGAGGCGCGCUCGAUGCUGCUGCGCACGAUCUUAACGCUGAUCAGUCGAACGCCCGAGGAGUAUCUGCACGAGCUCAUUGUCAUAGACGACGGCAGUGAGGAUGCCGGCCUGCUGGCGAGUCUCGAACGGCACAUGACCGCAGCAAAUGUGCAGCGGGGGCGGCCCACACUCAUCUUCAGACGCAAUCUGAGCCGCAAGGGCCUGAUUUGGUCACGCAACGAGGGCGCUCGGCUGGCCAGCGGCCAUUAUUUGCUGUUUCUGGACAGUCACUGCGAGGUCAAUGAUGGCUGGCUGGAGCCCCUGCUGGAGAGGCUGGCGCUGAACUCUAGGCUUGCGGUCAGCCCGGUGCUGGAUCCCAUUGAACCCGAGACCUUGAGCUACAUGGCCGGGAAUGAGUUGCUGAAAGGCGGCUUCGAUUGGAGCCUGCACUUCCAUUGGCUGCCCCGGGUGCUGGCCGAGAAGGAGGCGCUGGCGCAGCCAUAUGCCAGUCCAGCCUUCGCGGGUGGCAUCUUGGUGAUCUCGCGCGAGUCGUUCCACAAGCUGCAUGGCUUCAAUCCGCAUCUGGAGCAAUUCAAAAAUCAUAGCCGAGUCCUGGCUGGACGAGUACAAAUAUUUGUUCUACGCCCUCAAACCGUCGGCCAGGCAAAUUCCAUUGAAUCUCCGCACAGUCAGCCAGCCCAGCUACGAUCCGGCACAGAUAAAAGCUGAACUGAACUGCCGGCCCUUCGACUGGCUCAUGCGACAUGUGAGCCCAGAGCUGAGGCUGCAGCACGCGAACCUCAGCGCCCUCGGCACCCUGCGCAACGCCGACCGCUGUCUGCAUGUGGCUGGCACGGAGC
Molecule: unclassified non-coding RNA, 1255 nt
Filed under: Drosophila mojavensis
Lineage: Eukaryota; Metazoa; Arthropoda; Insecta; Diptera; Drosophilidae
Description: GI10532
Source: RNAcentral